Molecule: ribosomal RNA, 323 nt
Filed under: uncultured Chloroflexota bacterium
Lineage: Bacteria; Bacillati; Chloroflexota
Description: bacterial SSU rRNA
Rfam family: Bacterial small subunit ribosomal RNA
Source: RNAcentral
GAUGAACGCUGGCGGCGUGCUUAAUACAUGCAAGUCGAACGGAGACAGUAGCAAUAUUGUCUUAGUGGCGAACGGGUGAGUAACGCGUUGGUGACCUGCCUCGAAGAGAGGGAUAACAGUUCGAAAGGAUUGCUAAUACCUCAUGUGGUUAUUUGGGUUAGAGACCUUAUAACUAAACGGAUUUAUUCGCUUCGAGAGGGGCCUGCGUCCCAUCAGCUAGUUGGUAAGGUAACGGCCUACCAAGGCGAUGACGGGUAGGGGACCUGAGAGGGUGGCCCCCCACAAUGGAACUGAAACACGGUCCAUACACCUACGGGUGGCAG